RNAcentral lists this ribosomal RNA (497 nucleotides) under uncultured bacterium. RNAcentral's name for it is "partial 16S ribosomal RNA". It matches the Rfam family "Bacterial small subunit ribosomal RNA", at positions 28 to 507 of the family's 1533-position model. The record is from RNAcentral.
GAUGAACGCUGGCGGCGUGCCUAAUACAUGCAAGUCGAGCGAACAGACGAGGAGCUUGCUCCUCUGACGUUAGCGGCGGACGGGUGAGUAACACGUGGAUAACCUACCUAUAAGACUGGGAUAACUUCGGGAAACCGGAGCUAAUACCGGAUAAUAUAUUGAACCGCAUGGUUCAAUAGUGAAAGACGGUUUUGCUGUCACUUAUAGAUGGAUCCGCGCCGCAUUAGCUAGUUGGUAAGGUAACGGCUUACCAAGGCAACGAUGCGUAGCCGACCUGCGAGGGUGAUCGGCCACACGGGAACUGAGACACGGUCCAGACUCCUACGGGAGGCAGCAGUAGGGAAUCUUCCGCAAUGGGCGAAAGCUUGACGGAGCAACGCCGCGUGAGUGAUGAAGGUCUUCGGAUCGUAAAACUCUGUUAUUAGGGAAGAACAAAUGUGUAAGUAACUAUGCACGUCUUGACGGUACCUAAUCAGAAAGCCACGGCUAACUACGUG